GACGAACCGUGCGAACGUUGUUCGGAUUCACUGGGCGUAAAGGGUGCGUAGGCGGCGCGGUAAGUCGGGUGUGAAAUCUUGGAGCUUAACUCCGAAACUGCAUUCGAUACUGCCGUGCUUGAGGACUGGAGAGGAGACUGGAAUUUACGGUGUAGCGGUGAAAUGCGUAGAUAUCGUAAGGAAGACCAGUGGCGAAGGCGGGUCUCUGGGCAGUUCCUGACGCUGAGGCACGAAGGCCAGGGGAGCAAACGGG
RNAcentral lists this ribosomal RNA (253 nucleotides) under uncultured bacterium. Its description in RNAcentral is "partial 16S ribosomal RNA". It matches the Rfam family "Bacterial small subunit ribosomal RNA", at positions 524 to 776 of the family's 1533-position model. The record is from RNAcentral.